UACCAGCUCUCCGAGUGGUGUGGAUGUUUAUUGGGCCUAAAGCAUCCGUAGCUGGCUGGGCAAGUCCCCUGUUAAAUCCACCGAUUUAAUCGUUGGUGUGCGGGGGAUACUGCUCGGCUAGGGGACGGGAGAGGCCGACGGUAUUUUCGGGGUAGGGGUGAAAUCCUAUAAUCCCGGGAAGACCACCAGUGGCGAAGGCUGUCGGCUAGAACGCGCCCGACGGUGAGGGAUGAAAGCUGGGGGAGCGAACCGGAUUAGAUACCCGGGUAGUCCCAGCUGUAAACGAUGCAGGCUAGGUGUUUGGGCGGCCACGUGCCGCUCUAGUGCCGCAGAGAAGUCGUUAAGCCUGCCGCCUGGGGAGUACGGCCGCAAGGCUGAAACUUAAAGGAAUUGGCGGGGGAGCACCACAAGGGGUGAAGCUUGCGGUUU
RNAcentral lists this ribosomal RNA (429 nucleotides) under uncultured archaeon. RNAcentral describes it as "bacterial SSU rRNA". It matches the Rfam family "Archaeal small subunit ribosomal RNA", at positions 474 to 903 of the family's 1478-position model. The record is from RNAcentral.